UUAAAUUGUUGAUAAUGACUUUAUUUGUUGAUUCUACUUGCCCAUUACCCACCGGAUGGUAAAGUGUAGACAUAAUCCUUUUAGUCUACAAACUUUGAAAGAAUUCCAUGAUUUGAGCUUCUAUAAAUUGAGGGCCAUUAUUACACUUGAUCUCCUUUGGUACACCAAAUCGGCAUAUGAUAUUCCAUCAAAAGAAAUCUUUAACUUCCUUU
Molecule: long non-coding RNA, 212 nt
Filed under: Nicotiana benthamiana
Lineage: Eukaryota; Viridiplantae; Streptophyta; Magnoliopsida; Solanales; Solanaceae
Description: long non-coding RNA (NBEN_LNC024415)
Source: RNAcentral